This 400-nucleotide ribosomal RNA is filed under the name uncultured bacterium. Its description in RNAcentral is "bacterial SSU rRNA". It matches the Rfam family "Bacterial small subunit ribosomal RNA", at positions 359 to 776 of the family's 1533-position model. The record is from RNAcentral.
GAAUCUUGGACAAUGGGCGAAAGCCUGAUCCAGCGACGCCGCGUGACUGAUGAAGCCCUUCGGGGUGUAAAGGUCUUUCAGCGGGGCCAAUAAUGAUGGUACCCGCAGAAGCAGCUGCGGCUAACUACGUCCCAGCAGCCGCGGUAAUACGUAGGCAGCAAGCGUUGUUCGGAAUUACUGGGCGUAAAGCGAGUGUAGGCGGUCUGCCAAGUCUGCUGUGAAAUCUCCCGGCUCAACUGGGAGGGUGCGGCGGAAACUGACAGGCUCGAGUGCGGGAGAGGAGAGUGGAAUUCCUGGUGUAGCGGUGAAAUGCGUAGAUAUCAGGAGGAACACCGGUGGUGAAGACGGCUCUCUGGACCGCGACUGACGCUGAGACUCGAAAGCGUGGGGAGCAAACAGG